RNAcentral lists this ribosomal RNA (362 nucleotides) under uncultured microorganism. RNAcentral's name for it is "bacterial SSU rRNA". It matches the Rfam family "Archaeal small subunit ribosomal RNA", at positions 330 to 640 of the family's 1478-position model. The record is from RNAcentral.
GUGCACCAGUCGCGAAUCCUUCGCAAUGCAGGAAACUGCGACGAGGGAACUCCAAGUGCCUACGCUCAGCGUAGGCUGUUCUCAAGCCUAGAAAGCUUGAGGAGUAAGGGCUGGGUAAGACGGGUGCCAUCUGUGGUAGCAGUCAAUAGAUUCGAUUUGUUACUGCAAGGCAUAAGCCGCCGCGGUAAUACCCGCAGCCCAAGUGGUGGCCGCUUUUAUUGGGCCUAAAGCGUCCGUAGCCGGCCCGGUAAAUGCCUGGGGUAAAUCGUGGAGCCCAACUUCACGAAUUCCGGGUAGACUGCCGAGCUCGGGGACCCGGAAGAGGGAGAGGGGUACUUCAGGGGUAGGGGUGAAAAGUUUCC